Lepisosteus oculatus (spotted gar) is the source of this 2394-nucleotide non-coding RNA. Lineage: Eukaryota; Metazoa; Chordata; Actinopteri; Semionotiformes; Lepisosteidae. The record is from RefSeq and is a predicted model, not a curated record.
AAAGGGAGCAGAAUGUGUUACAGGAAGUUCAGGCUCAUUUGGCUGUGUGGCCUUUGAUGAACACAGGUCUCAGGUCCAGUGAACCAACGCUCAUGGAAAACGAUGAAGACGGGACGGCUGCCAGGUGUGAACCAGCGAUGCUGAGAUGACCUGCUGCCAGUUUGCACACCCAGGGCAGCCUCAUCAGAGCAUGCAAUAACAAUGGAUGUUGGCUGGUUGUCCAGUGAGAAUGAGGGAUGCCCACCUCUCAGAGCUCCAUGGUGCCUCAUAGGAGAGUGAGCCUUGAUUGGAGGAGCAGUGUGUCCCUCGCUGAUGUCACUGAUGUGUGAUAGAGUUCCAGAACCUGGUGAUGACUUCUAAAGCUUGUUCACAUCACACUGGACCAGAGAGCCAAGCUAGUGGAAAUUUCUGUUUUCCUUGAAGGAACGUUCACCUAUAAAGAAGUCUCUCUUGUCGCCUUUCAGCUCUGUCAAUAAGCCCACCCUGCCUCGCUCCUUCUCUGAAUCAGCCACUCAGUGCUCUUCUCUUCCUCUGCUCAAUCCUUGAGCUCUGCUCACUACCACACUCCCUUAGUCUAAUGCUGCCUGACCCACCCACCAGCUCACACUUGCUCCUCACCAUCCCCCUCUCUCUCCCUUCUCAGGCUCUGCUCUGGAACCCCCAGUGCCUCCCUCUCUGUGUAUCUCUGUGCAUUAGCCCAUAUAACCCCCUGCCUUCGCUCAAGCUUGGUCCCUUAUCAGAAAGACCCACUGUGCAGGUGAUAAUUGAAAUACUCUGCUCUGCAAACACAACAGAUGGGCAAACUGGCCCAGAGGGGAAAUCGGAAAUGUUUCAAUCUAAAUAUAGAGUCAAAGAGAAAUCCGUUCGUUUGUGACAUCAGCUUAAAGGGUAAUUAGCAACAGGUUGGGGGCAUAUGGUAAUUGUCUCCGAAGACAUUGAUUAUUUUGCUCAGUCCUCUUUUUUCCCCGUUUUGCAAUGCACGUUCCUCGCUCCUCUCCUAUCAGAGAGGAGCAGAUCCCUUCAGACAGGCUGUGUGGCCCCAGCUAUUGCCGAUGUGGCACAGCUACAGUGGUUAACUGUUUAGGGGAGUGACUCCUCUCUCUUGCAGUGAAAGGCGUCGUGCAGCUCGUGCCUCUACUUGUUUCCUCCUGAUGUCUGCAGCACUAAUGUCAAACACUGGAGCGACGUGGCUUGUAGCCUUUCCCAGUUAUGGCAGAAAACUAAAUAAAAUGCAAAUACAAACAGUGUCACGGAGACCUGGCAGCUGAUUGUAGUUUACUGCUCGUGUGCUUAUUCAGAUCGGCACUUGCCAAUGUAACAGUAGUCGUACUGCUAGCAAUUGUGUCUCAGUUCAGUUUUUCAAAAGGUUUGCGAAGCUUUUAAAAGGCCUUUAAAACAGAGAUGAGGAAUUUAAAUGGCUGUAGUGUGCACGUAUAAAAUCAGUGAUAUCUCUGACUCAGCUAUAUUAGGCACUCUGCCUACGACAACUUAAUCUUAGUUGUAGCCACAGUUGAUGCGUGCCAUAUGUUAACUGAAAUAGUUCACAUUUUCAUCCUUGCGCCCACGCUUUUAUGGGAAAUUGUGGCUGGCUCAACAAGGUGUUGUAGGCACACAAAGUUUAAACACCUAAGUCUGCAUUGCUGACUGUUAGAAUGUGAAAAGAAAUUGCAGUGCAUAAGUGUGUCCCCUAGUUUUGCUUAAAAGUUGGAGGUGUACUGAAAAUAAGCUGACAUUUGUCGUACUGCGAUGUGUGGCUGCAUUAAACAAAAAGCUGUAAAAAAAUGUGUCAAUGCAGUUGAAAGUGCAAUGAAUUGCACAAUCCUUUUGAAUGCAUGUAUACAUUUGAGGCAUUCACGGAGUGAUUAACAUCUAUGAAUGCAUGCCAUUGUGCGCCUGAAUUUAGGUAUCGUUAGCUGUAACUGAUUUUUGUUGGGAGUGGCAGAUUCUCGCCGUGAUAACAUGGACAAUCUGAUCUCAAGAGGAUGUUCUGGCUAGGUCUUGUCCCUUUCUGUUUCCCUGGAAUAUACUUGGUAGCCCAUCAGGGAGUGGGGUGAGGCAUGGGGACAGAGGUGGACACGUGCUCUCUCAUUUCAUGCACUCUGUGUCCUGCUUCUGGGAUAGGCUCCAGCAGCCUGUGACCCACAUCAUGCUGACUUUCUGAUGAUGUUGAUGACUUUCACCAGUCUGUGAUUCUGCAAGCAACAGUGCUCCACUGGGCUCGACUCCACCCAGUGUUUAUUCUAUAGGAUCUGCGACGAGGACGUUGAUGGGCGGCACUUCAAAUCUUACAGAAAAGAGUCCCCGGACUUCAUCUCUCUUGUGCAGGCUGUCACCUGACCGGGACUGCAUUACAGCCAUGCUAACCAUGGUGCAGUUGUCUAACAAGACCCUUUA